AUUAGUCUUGGGUUCUUGCCUGGAGCUAGUUUCAAGUACUGGUCUGCUGGGGCCUUCAGGAGGGCACUAAGCUGGUCCAGUGGAUCACAGGAGCUCACCCCCAAGUCUUCCAGGAUAUUACAUACAUAAUCUGUCGAAGGAGAAAUACAACACUUGCCUGGAUGUGGAGGUAGUGUUGGCCUCUUGCAGUGCACGGUUAAGGGCUGGACUGUGGUUAACCAGGAGAGGUUCAAGAUGCUGUGGCAAGGUCAUGAGGUACUGCCCAAUCUGACAACAAAAGAGUGUGAUUAUUGCUGUUUGCUGUCUGACAAAUUAAUUUCCCAGGCCAUUUAACUGUAACAGCAUGACUAACAACUAUUGACUAAGGAUGAAACACAAUAAAAAUUAGAUGUGAAAGUAACUGAGCUUCUUGAUAUUCCUGGUGUUUAGUGAUCUGGUCCUGGAGAGGACGAUACACAGCCUGUGUCACCAUCCUCUGUGCCUGCAACAGCCACUACCUGAUCCACCGGGGGGUCCAAGGAAGCUAAACUGGCUGCCACCAAUUGUGCCAACAAGAGACUUGAGUCAGAUCCCUCAAAGACCUGCCCACACCAACGCACCUGUCAACAUAACAUCCCAGUUAAUAA
Molecule: long non-coding RNA, 626 nt
Organism: Portunus trituberculatus (swimming crab)
Lineage: Eukaryota; Metazoa; Arthropoda; Malacostraca; Decapoda; Portunidae
Exons: 4
Source: RefSeq, a predicted model, not a curated record